GAUGAACGCUGGCGGCGUGCCUAAUACAUGCAAGUCGAGCGGACAGACAGUAAGCUUGCUCCUCUGACGUUAGCGGCUGGCGGGUGAGUAACACGUGGAUAACCUACCUAUAAUUCGUGGAGAACUUCGUGAAGCCGCAUCUAAUACCGCAGAAUAUGUUGAACCGCAGGGUGCAAUGGUGAAUGGCAGUUUUCCUGUCUCUUAUAGAUGAUGCCGCGCCGGAUUAGCUAGUUGGUAAGGUAACGGCUUACCAAGGCAACGAUGCGUAGCCGACCUGAGAGGGUGAUCGGCCACACUGGAACUGAGACACGGUCCAGACUCCUACGGGAGGCAGCAGUAGGGAAUAUUCGGCAAUGGGCGAAAGCCUGACGCAGCCACGCCGCGUGAGUGAUGAAGGUCUUCGGAUCGUAAAACUCUGUUAUUAGGGAAGAACAAAUGUGUAAGUAACUAUGCACGUUCUGACGGUACCCAAUCAGAAAGCAACGGCUAACUACGUG
Molecule: ribosomal RNA, 497 nt
Filed under: uncultured bacterium
Lineage: Bacteria
Description: partial 16S ribosomal RNA
Rfam family: Bacterial small subunit ribosomal RNA
Source: RNAcentral